UUUGAAAUCUGGCCCCCCCCCGCGGGGGCCCGAGUUGUAAUUUGCAGAGGACGCUUUUGGUGAGGUGCCUUCCGAGUUCCCUGGAACGGGACGCCGCAGAGGGUGAGAGCCCCGUCUGGUCGGACGCCGAGCCUCUGUAAAGCUCCUUCGACGAGUCGAGUAGUUUGGGAAUGCUGCUCUAAAUGGGAGGUAUAUGUCUUCUAAAGCUAAAUACCGGCCAGAGACCGAUAGCGCACAAGUAGAGUGAUCGAAAGAUGAAAAGCACUUUGAAAAGAGGGUUAAACAGUACGUGAAAUUGUUGAAAGGGAAGCGCUUGCGACCAGACAUGGGCCCCGGGAAUCAUCCGGCGUCCUCGCCGGUGCA
This 363-nucleotide ribosomal RNA is filed under the name Myriogenospora atramentosa. Its description in RNAcentral is "partial large subunit ribosomal RNA". It matches the Rfam family "Eukaryotic large subunit ribosomal RNA", at positions 114 to 493 of the family's 3401-position model. Lineage: Eukaryota; Fungi; Ascomycota; Sordariomycetes; Hypocreales; Clavicipitaceae. The record is from RNAcentral.